GAUGAACGCUGGCGGCGUGCUUAACACAUGCAAGUCGAACGAGAAGUGAAGACGGAACCCUUCGGGCGGAAGGCUUUAUUUCGAGUGGCGGACGGGUGAGUAACGCGUGGGUAACCUGCCUCAUACAGGGGGAUAACAGUUGGAAACGACUGUUAAUACCGCAUAAGACCACAGCACCGCAUGGUGCGGGGGUAAAAACUCCGGUGGUAUGAGAUGGACCCGCGUUCGAUUAGCCAGUUGGCGGGGUAACGGCCCACCAAAGCGACGAUCGAUAGCCGAUCUGAGAGGAUGACCGGCCACAUUGGGACUGAGACACGGCCCAAACUCCUACGGGAGGCAGCAGUGGGGAAUAUUGCACAAUGGGGGAAACCCUGAUGCAGCGACGCCGCGUGAGUGAAGAAGUAUUUCGGUAUGUAAAGCUCUAUCAGCAGGGAAGAAAAUGACGGUACCUGAGUAAGAAGCCCCGGCUAACUACGU
This 477-nucleotide ribosomal RNA is filed under the name uncultured bacterium. RNAcentral describes it as "partial 16S ribosomal RNA". It matches the Rfam family "Bacterial small subunit ribosomal RNA", at positions 28 to 506 of the family's 1533-position model. The record is from RNAcentral.